This 1151-nucleotide ribosomal RNA is filed under the name uncultured bacterium. RNAcentral's name for it is "bacterial SSU rRNA". It matches the Rfam family "Bacterial small subunit ribosomal RNA", at positions 140 to 1265 of the family's 1533-position model. The record is from RNAcentral.
GGGAUACCCCCUCGAAAGGGGGGCUAAUACCGGAUACGUUCCUCGGGUUGCGAAAUCUGGGGAGGAAAGGUGGCGCAAGCUGCCGCUCGUGGAGGGGCUCGCGGCCUAUCAGCUUGUUGGCGGGGUAACGGCCCACCAAGGCGAUGACGGGUAGCUGGUCUGAGAGGACGGCCAGCCACACGGGGACUGAGACACGGCCCCGACUCCUACGGGAGGCAGCAGUGGGGAAUUUUCCGCAAUGGGCGAAAGCCUGACGGAGUGACGCCGCGUGGGGGAUGAAGGCCUUCGGGUCGUAAACCCCUGUCAGAGGGAAAGAUGUGUUCGAGCGCGAUAACKUCGUCAUCUGAACGGUAMCUUCAGAGGAAGCCCCGGCAACUCUGUGCCAGCAGCCGCGGUAAGACCAGAGGGGCAAGCGUUGCUCGGGAAWUACUGGGCGUAAAAGGGCGCGUAGGCGGGAUGGCAAGUCGGUCGUGAAAGCCUCCGGGCCCAACCGGGAGAACGUCAAUCGAUACUGCCGUCCUUGAGGGUUGCAGAGGAGACUGGAAUUCCCGGUGUAGCGGUGAAAUGUGUAGAGAUCGGGAGGAACACCGGUGGCGAAGGCGGGUCUCUGGGCAACUCCUGACGCUGAGGCGCGAAAGCGUGGGGAGCAAACGGGAUUAGAUACCCCGGUAGUCCACGCGGUAAACGAUGGGCACUAGGGGUGUGUGGGGGGGUUCCAGUCCCCUUCCCGUGCCGCAGCUAACGCAUUUAAGUGCCCCGCCUGGGGGAGUACGGCCGCAAGWUGAACUCAAAGGAAKUGACCGGGGGACCGCACAAGCGGUGGAGCAUGUGUCAUCGAUGMKAGCGAAGAACUUACCUGGKCKUGACAUGCCKGMAGUGAAACCCGAAAGGGGGACGACCUGUUAAGUCAGGAGCCGGCACAGGUGGUGCAUGGCUGUCGUCAGCUCGUGCCGUGAGGUGUUGGGUUAAGUCCCGCAACGAGCGCAACCCUCACCCCAUGUUGCCAUCAGGUUAUGCUGGGCACUCUUGGGGAACCGCCGGCGAAGAGCUGGAGGAAGGGGGGGAUGACGUCAAGUCCGUAUGCCCCUUAUGUCCAGGGCUACACACAUGCUACAAUGGCCGGUACAGAGGGUCGCAAACCCGCAAGGGGG